RNAcentral lists this ribosomal RNA (553 nucleotides) under uncultured Nitrososphaerota archaeon. RNAcentral describes it as "bacterial SSU rRNA". It matches the Rfam family "Archaeal small subunit ribosomal RNA", at positions 325 to 879 of the family's 1478-position model. The record is from RNAcentral. Lineage: Archaea; Thermoproteati; Nitrososphaerota.
ACGGGGUGCAGCAGGCGCGAAACCUUUGCAAUGUGCGAAAGCACGACAAGGUUAAUCCGAGUGUCUCCUGCUAAAGGAGUCUUUUGUCAGUUGUAGAAUCACUGAUGAAUAAGGGGUGGGCAAGUUCUGGUGUCAGCCGCCGCGGUAAAACCAGCACCUCGAGUGGUCAGGAGGUUUAUUGGGCCUAAAGCAUCCGUAGCCGGUUGCAUAAGUUUUCGGUUAAAUCUAUGCGCUCAACGUAUAGGCCGCCGAAAAUACUGUGCGGCUAGGGAGUGGGAGAGGUACACGGUACUCAAUAGGAAGGGGUAAAAUCCUUUGAUCUAUUGAUGACCACCUGUGGCGAAGGCGGUGUACCAGAACACGUUCGACGGUGAGGGAUGAAAGCUGGGGGAGCAAACCGGAUUAGAUACCCGGGUAGUCCCAGCUGUAAACGAUGCAGACUCGGUGAUGCAUUGGCUUGUGGCCAAUGCAGUGCCGCAGGGAAGCCGUUAAGUCUGCCGCCUGGGAAGUACGUACGCAAGUAUGAAACUUAAAGGAAUUGGCGGGGGAGCCC